Nomia melanderi (Alkali bee) is the source of this 519-nucleotide long non-coding RNA. RefSeq lists it as uncharacterized. The record is from RefSeq and is a predicted model, not a curated record. Lineage: Eukaryota; Metazoa; Arthropoda; Insecta; Hymenoptera; Halictidae.
CUCAAUGUUCUUAUUGGUCUUUAUAGUACUGGUCAUUUUAAGUGAGAAUGUUCUUCAGGAAGUAUUCGGUGAAAGUAGGAGAAAUGUUAAUAGAAACUUCUAUAACUUGAAAAAUAAAAAAUAUUAUAAUGUAAAAAUUAUACAAUGUUAUUCAUUUUACACGAUCAGUGCCAAGUAAAAAUAUUGGUGAACAUUGUUACUUAUUUAUUACGAAUAAAUACGAAGCAGUGGAGGUAAACUUACUUCUGCCGCAAUCUACUAUUAAUUAACAAGAAAUAUCAUCAGUGAGGAAUGUAAACAUUCAAUAUAUGUGGUUUUACAAUGCUAUCAGAAGCGAUUCAAGUUGUUCGAUACAUGGUAAUCAGUUAAGACGACAUGGUUGUAUUGAGUCAACUUGUACUUCAUUGAUAAAAAUCACAUAUAUAUUAUACAUAAAAUUCUAUAAAUUAUUUGUAUAUAAUCUAUAUUGUAUUAAAUAUAAAAAUUAAAUUAUUAAAAUAAAAUCAUGUUAUUUCAUUU